UGCUACCCUGUGCUUGUAUUGCUAGAUUCACUGUUGCACUUGUAAUGGUAUGUGAUUGACUGCAAAUGCACAAAGCAGGAACCAUGUUCUGCUGCUGCACUAUUUCCUAACCUACAUCAGAUUUAUAUAUGUACAAUGGCCAGGUCUUGUGUAACUAAUCAGAGUUAUUAUGUACAAUGCCCAUGCCCAGGUCUUGUGUAACUAAUCAAAGCUAUGUACAAUGCCCAGAUCUUGUGUAACUAGUCAGACUUCUUGGAUUACGGUUUAUGAGUAGGAUCUGAUGAGCCUGAGACCCUGGAAGGAGCCCUUGAGCAGGCUGCCCAGGACGGACACUGCGCCGCCCUCGGCCUCGUGCUUGACCGACGCGUCGUG
This 372-nucleotide long non-coding RNA is filed under the name Sorghum bicolor (sorghum). RNAcentral describes it as "long non-coding RNA (SBIC_LNC013372)". Lineage: Eukaryota; Viridiplantae; Streptophyta; Magnoliopsida; Poales; Poaceae. The record is from RNAcentral.